CCUACGGGUGACAGCAGUGAGGAAUAUUGGUCAAUGGACGAGAGUCUGAACCAGCCACGUAGCGUGAAGGAUGACUGCCCUAUGGGUUGUAAACUUCUUUUAUAUGGGAAUAAAAUGUUCCACGUGUGGGAUUUUGUAUGUACCAUAUGAAUAAGGAUCGGCUAACUCCGUGCCAGCAGCCGCGGUAAUACGGAGGAUCCGAGCGUUAUCCGGAUUUAUUGGGUUUAAAGGGAGCGUAGGUGGAUUGUUAAGUCAGUUGUGAAAGUUUGCGGCUCAACCGUAAAAUUGCAGUUGAAACUGGCAGUCUUGAGUACAGUAGAGGUGGGCGGAAUUCGUGGUGGAGCGGUGAAAUGCUUAGAUAUCACGAAGAACUCCGAUUGCGAAGGCAGUUCACUGGACUGCAACUGACACUGAGGCUCGAAAGUGUGGGUAUCAAACAGGAUUAGAUACCCUGGUAGUC
This 460-nucleotide ribosomal RNA is filed under the name uncultured bacterium. RNAcentral describes it as "partial 16S ribosomal RNA". It matches the Rfam family "Bacterial small subunit ribosomal RNA", at positions 338 to 795 of the family's 1533-position model. The record is from RNAcentral.